Molecule: transfer RNA, 74 nt
Filed under: Danionella translucida
Lineage: Eukaryota; Metazoa; Chordata; Actinopteri; Cypriniformes; Danionidae
Also listed under: 1 other name
Rfam family: tRNA
About the family: Transfer RNA (tRNA) molecules are approximately 80 nucleotides in length. Their secondary structure includes four short double-helical elements and three loops (D, anti-codon, and T loops).
Source: Rfam by way of RNAcentral
GGCCUGUUAGCUCAGCUGGUUAGAGCGUGGUGCUAAUAACGCCAAGGUCGUUUGUUCGAUCCCCACAUGGGCCA